This 468-nucleotide ribosomal RNA is filed under the name uncultured bacterium. RNAcentral describes it as "partial 16S ribosomal RNA". It matches the Rfam family "Bacterial small subunit ribosomal RNA", at positions 28 to 507 of the family's 1533-position model. The record is from RNAcentral.
GACGAACGCUGGCGGCGUGCUUAACACAUGCAAGUCGAACGGAAAGGCCCUGCUUUUGUGGGGUGCUCGAGUGGCGAACGGGUGAGUGACACGUGAGUAACCUGCCCUUGACUUUGGGAUAACUUCAGGAAACUGGGGCUAAUACCGGAUAGGAGCUCCUGCUGCAUGGUGGGGGUUGGAAAGUUUCGGCGGUUGGGGAUGGACUCGCGGCUUAUCAGCUUGUUGGUGGGGUAGUGGCUUACCAAGGCUUUGACGGGUAGCCGGCCUGAGAGGGUGACCGGCCACAUUGGGGCUGAGAUACGGCCCAGACUCCUACGGGAGGCAGCAGUGGGGAAUAUUGCACAAUGGGCGGAAGCCUGAUGCAGCAACGCCGCGUGCGGGAUGACGGCCUUCGGGUUGUAAACCGCUUUCGCCUGUGACGAAGCGUGAGUGACGGUAAUGGGUAAAGAAGCACCGGCUAACUACGUG